RNAcentral lists this ribosomal RNA (409 nucleotides) under uncultured fungus. Its description in RNAcentral is "eukaryotic LSU rRNA". Lineage: Eukaryota; Fungi. The record is from RNAcentral.
AGAGUGCAACAGUACGUGAAAUUGUUAAAAGGGAACCGCUUGGAACCAGUGGUGUGCGCCGGUAAUUCAGUUACACAUGCUUUUCUCUGUUAGUUUCAAGAGUUAAUAGCCUUGAAAUUGGCCGUCGAGGAGUAUGGGUGAUGCACUUUGCCGGUGCACUGGUCAACAUCAUUUUUGCUGGCCGGAAAAAGUCAUUAGGAAGGUGAGUUCUCUCGGGAACUGUUAUAUCCUAGUGAAAUCUACGGUCGGUGGGAAUGAGGACAUGUGCAGCGUGAGCCUGGCUGGGCCGCCUGCCUCUGAAGGCUCGUUUGGUGCGAACUGCAUGCAGAUCGUGUCAAAUGUGGGUAUUCACGGGUGGGGUCGGUCACAAAUCACGCUCCAGAUGUUGACGAAAUGGUUUUAAACGACC